Molecule: long non-coding RNA, 343 nt
Filed under: Malus domestica (apple)
Lineage: Eukaryota; Viridiplantae; Streptophyta; Magnoliopsida; Rosales; Rosaceae
Description: long non-coding RNA (MDOM_LNC004368)
Source: RNAcentral
UCCUUUAGUAUUUCUUAAAUACUUAAGGACUCACUUGACAGUUGCCAUGGUUCUGAUCCUGGGCUUGCACUAAUAUCGUCUAGUACCGUUCUAGGUACAACUCAUAUCAAUGUUUUUCAUACAAUAUGAAAUACAUAAAUCCCCUUUAUGCAUACGCAUAAAAUAUUCUAUUUACGCAUUAUUUCUUUGGGAGUCAAAGAGUACGUUCUCUUUGAGAAGAGCAACUUCUUAGUCUCACUAGAGUUGUCCUUCUAAUUGAAGUUUAUCAUCAUAUAAGAAACUUCCUAGCAUCUAUUGUCUAUUAUUAGGGAUUGAUAUAAUCCAAUUAUAUCAUGAAAUAUAU